GAUGAAGAACGUAGCGAAAUGCGAUACGUAAUGUGAAUUGCAGAAUUCAGUGAAUCAUCGAGUCUUUGAACGCACAUUGCGCCCUCUGGUAUUCCGGAGGGCAUGCCUGUCCGCGCGUCAUUGCUGCCCUCAAGCACGGCUUGUGUGUUGGGCCCCGCCCCCCGAUCCCGGGGGGCGGGCCCGAAAGGCAGCGGCGGCACCGCGUCCGGUCCUCGAGCGUAUGGGGCUUUGUCACCCGCUCUGUAGGCCCGGCCGGCGCCUGCCGAUCAACCAAACUUUUUUCCAGGUUGACCUCGGAUCAGGUAGGGAUACCCGCUGAACUUAAGCAUAUCAAUAAGCGGAGGA
This 345-nucleotide unclassified non-coding RNA is filed under the name soil metagenome. RNAcentral describes it as "partial contains 5.8S ribosomal RNA, internal transcribed spacer 2, and large subunit ribosomal RNA". The stretch from base 1 to 120 matches the Rfam family "5.8S ribosomal RNA", at positions 35 to 154 of the family's 154-position model. The record is from RNAcentral.